RNAcentral lists this ribosomal RNA (484 nucleotides) under uncultured bacterium. RNAcentral's name for it is "partial 16S ribosomal RNA". It matches the Rfam family "Bacterial small subunit ribosomal RNA", at positions 30 to 507 of the family's 1533-position model. The record is from RNAcentral.
AUUGAACGCUGGCGGCAGGCCUAACACAUGCAAGUCGAGCGGAUGAAGGGAGCUUGCUCCUGGAUUCAGCGGCGGACGGGUGAGUAAUGCCUAGGAAUCUGCCUGUUAGUGGGGGAUAACGUCCGGAAACGGGCGCUAAUACCGCAUACGUCCUGAGGGAGAAAGUGGGGGAUCUUCGGACCUCACGCUAUCAGAUGAGCCUAGGUCGGAUUAGCUAGUUGGUGGGGUAAAGGCCUACCAAGGCGACGAUCCGUAACUGGUCUGAGAGGAUGAUCAGUCACACUGGAACUGAGACACGGUCCAGACUCCUACGGGAGGCAGCAGUGGGGAAUAUUGGACAAUGGGCGAAAGCCUGAUCCAGCCAUGCCGCGUGUGUGAAGAAGGUCUUCGGAUUGUAAAGCCCUUUAAGUUGGGAGGAAGGGCAGUAAGUUAAUACCUUGCUGUUUUGACGUUACCAACAGAAUAAGCACCGGCUAACUUCGUG